UACGGGGGGAGCAAGCGUUGUUCGGAUUUACUGGGUGUAAAGGGCGCGUAGGCGGUCGUGACAAGUCACUUGUGAAAUCUCCGGGCUUAACUCGGAACGGUCAAGUGAUACUGUCGGACUAGAGUACAGAAGGGGCAACUGGAAUUCUCGGUGUAGCGGUGAAAUGCGUAGAUAUCGAGAGGAACACCUGCGGCGAAGGCGGGUUGCUGGGCUGAUACUGACGCUGAGGCGCGAAAGCCAGGGGAGCGAACGGGAUUAGAACCUACCAGCA
RNAcentral lists this ribosomal RNA (271 nucleotides) under uncultured bacterium. RNAcentral describes it as "partial 16S ribosomal RNA". It matches the Rfam family "Bacterial small subunit ribosomal RNA", at positions 524 to 792 of the family's 1533-position model. The record is from RNAcentral.